GUCUUCAUGGUGUAGUUGGUUAUCACGUGGGUCUCAUAUGAAUAGUAUGACUAGGAAGUAACAACUUCUUGGAUAUCCCAAGGCCGGGAGUUCGAACCUCCCUGAGGACA
Aspergillus heteromorphus CBS 117.55 is the source of this 110-nucleotide non-coding RNA. Lineage: Eukaryota; Fungi; Ascomycota; Eurotiomycetes; Eurotiales; Aspergillaceae. The record is from the annotation of a RefSeq genome assembly.